UUUAUGGAGAGUUUGAUCCUGGCUCAGGAUGAACGCUGGCGGCGUGCCUAAUACAUGCAAGUCGAGCGAACGGACGAGAAGCUUGCUUCUCUGAUGUUAGCGGCGGACGGGUGAGUAACACGUGGAUAACCUACCUAUAAGACUGGGAUAACUUCGGGAAACCGGAGCUAAUACCGGAUAAUAUUUUGAACCGCAUGGUUCAAAAGUGAAAGACGGUCUUGCUGUCACUUAUAGAUGGAUCCGCGCUGCAUUAGCUAGUUGGUAAGGUAACGGCUUACCAAGGCAACGAUGCAUAGCCGACCUGAGAGGGUGAUCGGCCACACUGGAACUGAGACACGGUCCAGACUCCUACGGGAGGCAGCAGUAGGGAAUCUUCCGCAAUGGGCGAAAGCCUGACGGAGCAACGCCGCGUGAGUGAUGAAGGUCUUCGGAUCGUAAAACUCUGUUAUUAGGGAAGAACAUAUGUGUAAGUAACUGUGCACAUCUUGACGGUACCUAAUCAGAAAGCCACGGCUAACUACGUGCCAGCAGCCGCGGUAAUACGUAGGUGGCAAGCGUUAUCCGGAAUUAUUGGGCGUAAAGCGCGCGUAGGCGGUUUUUUAAGUCUGAUGUGAAAGCCCACGGCUCAACCGUGGAGGGUCAUUGGAAACUGGAAAACUUGAGUGCAGAAGAGGAAAGUGGAAUUCCAUGUGUAGCGGUGAAAUGCGCAGAGAUAUGGAGGAACACCAGUGGCGAAGGCGACUUUCUGGUCUGUAACUGACGCUGAUGUGCGAAAGCGUGGGG
This 783-nucleotide ribosomal RNA is filed under the name Staphylococcus aureus. RNAcentral describes it as "bacterial SSU rRNA". It matches the Rfam family "Bacterial small subunit ribosomal RNA", at positions 1 to 766 of the family's 1533-position model. The record is from RNAcentral. Lineage: Bacteria; Bacillati; Bacillota; Bacilli; Caryophanales; Staphylococcaceae.